RNAcentral lists this long non-coding RNA (1461 nucleotides) under Mustela putorius furo (domestic ferret). RNAcentral's name for it is "lncRNA (ENSMPUG00000025002.1)". Lineage: Eukaryota; Metazoa; Chordata; Mammalia; Carnivora; Mustelidae. The record is from RNAcentral.
UAUCAAUAAAGGUGGCAUUAAGAAGUACAAAAUAGAAUUUUUAUUUCUCCAGCAGACGCUGUUGAGCACUUACUACUGAUAAGGCAAUGUACCUGGUAGACACUCUGGAGGGAGAAUAAGAGGAAACCAUAGAAGGACCUCCUGAGUAGGAGAGCUAAACCGUGUGUACAAGGAAUCACAUCUGCGUUUAUUGGAAUCUGCUAUGUGACAGGCAUGUUAUUGCUUCCAACUUUAAAAAAGACCUCACAGGGGCAGAACUCCUGCUGCCAGAGAAAGGACCCUUCACUGAAAGAGCUGGAUGAGGCAUCAGCAAGAGGCUUUCAAUCCAGACAAGUAAGGAGGAAGGCAGUGGACCAACCUCAUUCUUCAAACAAUACUUCCACUCAGGUGGCAGGACUCCAGGGGGAAGCUUCUUUGGACAGGGAGGUGAGUGAACACAUCCACUUCUGUCUCCUGGGGGCCGUAUUGUUGAGUCCUAGCGACUGCUAACAUCAGUUACCUCAUCACUACUUAGGAGCACCUUUGAAAACAGGGAUUACUGGCUUUGGAAAAACCUAGUCAGUUUCUUUAUCUGCUGUUGAUGGAAAAGAUUAAUAUCAAAAUGAAGAUUGAAAGAUUUGGAGCACUUUCAUGAUUAUAUAACUGCUUCUAGGCAUGGGAUGCAGAUGUUGUGCCCAUUUUAGAUAAACUGCAAAACUGUGGAAAGCUGUAGCUGGAAAGAUCUUCAAGAUUUUGACCCUCGGUCUGCAUCAUCACUGAGAUGGAUGUUGUGAAGGGACCCAAACUACCUUCCUCAGUACAACCAUUAGGUUCUUUCUGGCAAAUGUCUUUAGUUUUUAAUAUUCGAAACUGGUGAGAUUUAUAUGCUACUGCUUGCAACUUCCUAGUAGAUUAUGGAAGCAAGUUUCAGACCAAAUGUCCUGGUACAUAUUCACAUUUAAUCACAAGCAGACCUCAAAAUGACCAGAUCUGAUCUUUGAGAUCCUCUGACCAUUGUUAAGGAAAAAAUUAUCCAUGACGCUUGUUAAAACAGUAAGGCAGACCUUAUUCAGGAUUACUGAGAGAGGUAUAGGGACUAAUGCAGUAGGGUUUCACUGUAAAAGGGAGAGAUUGGGCUCAACUUCUCUAAUACAACAAGGAAAGGUAGGAAUUUAUAGGUAAGGAACAGUGUGUGUUGGAGGGGCUGGAGUGCUGGUGGAUAGAAAAUUACUAAGAGCAACCAUCAAGGGUUGGGGGGUGGUUCUGGCGAAAUCAGCCUGGUGGGAUUCUUAGUGAAGGCUGGCCAGAAGGAAACGGUGGAGGAUGAAGAAUCUAAUUCGAUAUGGAGAGUGAUCAAAUGUGGAGGUUGGGAGGUUCUCAAAAUCAGACUUAGCAAGAUUCUUGCUAAAAUUGGGCUCUUAAGGACAUGACCAAGGUUAGAAAAAGAGCUCAGAGGUACCCAACUAGUUUGGUCAAGAAGAG